This is a long non-coding RNA of Gasterosteus aculeatus aculeatus (three-spined stickleback), 550 nucleotides long. NCBI's taxonomy places the organism in Eukaryota, Metazoa, Chordata, Actinopteri, Perciformes, Gasterosteidae. The record is from Ensembl.
GCGUGAGGACGCACGGUGGUCAAUUAGAAGCCCCCCUCGGGAGGGAUUACUGACCGGGGGAAAGGCUUUGAACAGACGACCACUGCUGGGUCACCUGCGAGCCCCCCGCCCCCCCAACCACCUCCCGCCGCCACACGUGUUGGCUCCACUGACGCAUAAUUCCACUCAUCUCACGCGCCAUACCUGCCCACCAGACACUACAUCAAAGCAGUGGUCGGUAACGUCAAAACAACAUUACCGUGCUAACUGUAUACGCGCUUGGGGACGUGGCACGUUUUCCCAGGUGCAAUCCGACACCGGUGAAACUGACUCACUUACUUCCCCUGAAAUGAUUUGCUGAAGAGGAUCACUUCGUCCAGUGAAAGUACAAUGGGAAGCCACAAAACAUUCCAAAGAGACGUGCUCAUUGAACCAUUAUUUGAAUGUAAUGCGAAACUAACACCUUCAACAUUAAAUAUAGGUAUUCAUUUCCUACCAAAGCCAUUAAGCUUAGUCAGUUGUUCAGUUUUCACCUCCACAAGUUAGAUAAGGCAGUGAAGUAACAUUUCUC